GAAUUGAAAUACGGAACAUACUGAAUGACCUGUUUAUAUAUAGAACGAAAAGAGUAAAUAAUACAUACAAUACCAGAGGUUCACAUCAGAUAGCAGCCAAAAAUGAAAAAGCAAUAGCAUCAGUACUACUUUUAUUCCUGACAGACCCCAUAUUACUAUACUAGUAUUAUAUUGUACUCAAAGCAGCCUAUUCACCAUCAGACAUAAUAAAGAAUGAAUUCAAGCUGGAUCUUUGAACAAAAUACCAAAUACAAGAUAUCCCCUUCCCAAUACAGAACGAGAAAUGUACGCGCGCCAAAAAUUAAACCCCAGUAGUCAUAAGAUAUCUGUAUGCUGGUUCAGAUGAAAGUCAAUGGCGAUUCGACAACUUGAGGGUCUCCCUUUCAUGUGUGGUUGAACUAUGGGUAAUGCUUGAGGUCAACUGAUCCCAAUUCAUAAGCUUUUAUCUGCAAAAUAAAUAUAAAUCAUGCAGAUCAAAUAAAAAUCCCUUGAUAGCAUGCCUAAUGACUCUUGAAUUCUCCAUUGUAUAUCAUGUCAAUAAUCAAUAGAAAUGAUG
This 556-nucleotide long non-coding RNA is filed under the name Olea europaea subsp. europaea. Lineage: Eukaryota; Viridiplantae; Streptophyta; Magnoliopsida; Lamiales; Oleaceae. The record is from RNAcentral.